RNAcentral lists this long non-coding RNA (373 nucleotides) under Gallus gallus (chicken). Lineage: Eukaryota; Metazoa; Chordata; Aves; Galliformes; Phasianidae. The record is from RNAcentral.
AAGCAACUCUGUGUAAAUCUGUGACAGCUGCUGGAGGUGUCAGAGAAGAUCUUUAUCUGCAAGAGUGCCUAAAUGUAAGACUCAUAUCAGGAUCUUCACACAGUUUGAGCCGUUAAAUUCUUGUGCUGUGGAAAACCAAGAGAUGAGAAGAACUGAAAAAAAUAAGAGACAGGGUUCCUGUGGAUCUGUGCCACUUCCUUGGAGGAGGCUCCAGUCAUCCUGGUACACACUCUAGAGGUGGCCACUCCAAGCAUCUCCUUGGUGUCCCACAGCUCAGAACUGUUUUUUGAUCUCUGCUUGUCCACUGCAGUGACAACGAGCCAGAAGAUUACAUUCACGUCAUAUCCUUCAGGGAAACACAAACUGCCCAAAA